RNAcentral lists this ribosomal RNA (106 nucleotides) under Heterobasidion annosum. Its description in RNAcentral is "partial 5.8S ribosomal RNA". It matches the Rfam family "5.8S ribosomal RNA", at positions 52 to 154 of the family's 154-position model. Rfam says of the family: 5.8S ribosomal RNA (5.8S rRNA) is a component of the large subunit of the eukaryotic ribosome. It is transcribed by RNA polymerase I as part of the 45S precursor that also contains 18S and 28S rRNA. Lineage: Eukaryota; Fungi; Basidiomycota; Agaricomycetes; Russulales; Bondarzewiaceae. The record is from RNAcentral.
AAUGCGAUAAGUAAUGUGAAUUGCAGAAUUCAGUGAAUCAUCGAAUCUUUGAACGCACCUUGCGCCCUUUGGUAUUCCGAAGGGCACGCCUGUUUGAGUGUCGUGA